GUUCCCUGACUCCGUUUCUGUCAAGCUCUGCUUCUUGUCGAUGGAAUGGCAGGAGAGAAUUAUCAUUCUGUUACAGCAGUCCCUGCCAUCACUGAUAGGGGAGCAAAAAAAAUAUAGGUCAAUUAAGAAAUUUAGCUUGGACCACCGUACACAGUCGCACAGGCUGUAAUAUAUGUUAUCACAGCUGCACAACAGAAUCAAAGCAUUAAAGACUAACGUGGUGGCAGGAUGUUUGAUUCCCCCGUCAUCCUUUUUUCUUUUUUUUCCUUUAUGGGCAUACGCCUGGCAGGAGUAUCAGGCUGCUGCAAGACAUUAAAACUGCCUCCCGUGGAUUUAGCAUGCUAUCGCUGUUGGAGUAAAAUAAUGAGCUAACACCCCAGGUAUGUAUGCAUCUGCUUGCAACCUCUGCAAAACCAUUCUGAAAAGCAAGUGGACAAUGGACUUUCAUGAAACGUCUGGAGAAUCAACAUACUUAUACUCUCAAGCAUGGAAAUGAUUAUUUUAACUGAUCAGACACAAAAAAAACCUAUUUCUUGUACUUGUCUAUAUUUCAUGAUUCAUUUUCAUUUUAUUACAGGAGGACAGAAGCUUUAUUUGGUGGCGUUUAACUCAACUACUGAACUGUUUGUCAGUCCAUACAAGACUAUUAAUUUCAACGUAAUGCACAAUGAAUCAAUGUAUUCACAUGUAAGGGACGCUUGUUCUUUCAUAAGCAUGUCAAAAGGGCACUUUUGUUUGCAAACGCUUUAGCAUGAGUGUAACCGAGAAGGGACUUGUUAUUUCUGUGACUCUCGUGGGUAAAAAGCUAGCAUUGCCUCUAACUACAAAUGUCGGGGACUGACAGUAAUGGCAAUUCAUAUAACAUCCUGACACCUGCUUCUCUUUUACAAAUGUCAUUCUCUUGGCAUAUGACUAAUCCUUCAACGUUCUAUAGAUGGGGACAUGCAAUAAAAUAGGAAAUGGGUGAAAUGCAAUGAAGUGGUUUUAAAUAGCUGGCAUUCUGCAUAUAAUUCAGAGUAAUAAAUGGAAGUUCGUCUAACCUUUCCAUAUCAAAAACGAAUCAAGUAAACAGGACUGUUUUUUUAAACUGGAUAAAACUAUAAAAUGAUUAUGCAUUAUAAGAAAAUUUGCUUUGUGAGGAUUUAAUGUGGAUCCACUAUAUAUUUUCUUAAAUGUUAUGUAUUUUUAGAAUAAAAACAUUUACAUUGGAUGCAAGUAAACAACUGACUUGGAUUCAGCAAGGAUUUUACUUAAAGUUUAUCUAUCAAAACUUGUGCGUUUUGGAACAGAGCAAGUAAAAAUCAAAAAAGCAUAAAAAGGCAAAAGCUGGUUCUUUAAUUAAAUCUGAG
RNAcentral lists this long non-coding RNA (1349 nucleotides) under Pelobates cultripes (western spadefoot toad). The record is from RNAcentral. Lineage: Eukaryota; Metazoa; Chordata; Amphibia; Anura; Pelobatidae.